AUGUCAGCCACUCGGAAGGGACCUUAUAAAUGUGCCCGGCGAGGAUUUCUGUGCUGCGCCUCAGCAUUCUCCCUCUCUCCCUCUGCUUCCAUCCUCCCUGCUCAGCGUGCUCGCUCUCGCCCCCGCACCACUUCCCUUCGUGCAUCUCACCGGCGACCAUGGCCAAGGAGAAGACGGCGGCGCUGGAGCGUGCCAAGAAGGCGUCGGCAUCGGAGAAGGCGAAGGGGAGAUCCACCAGCCGCAGAGGGUCCUCGUCCAGAUCCCGCCUGCCGAAAGGCUGGGUCCAAGGAGACUGGAUCCAGUCGACCAUCACGGAGAAGGACCUCCUCGACAUGGCCGACGAGGGCUUGA
Molecule: ribosomal RNA, 351 nt
Filed under: Triticum aestivum (bread wheat)
Lineage: Eukaryota; Viridiplantae; Streptophyta; Magnoliopsida; Poales; Poaceae
Description: partial small subunit ribosomal RNA
Source: RNAcentral